GCUUAUUAAUAUCUGAGCAAACCUGUGGAUACACAUAUAGACAAGUGCAUAGAGUCUUAAGAAAAAUUCUGCCCUACAUGUAGUAAAUACAAAAUAAGGACAAGGUCUUGAAAAAUUCUAUAGUUCCUUAACUAAAUUUUGACUAUUCUCACCACAUGACAUGACAUGACAAAGGCAAGUUCAUGUCUAUCACACAAAUAAAAGCCUUUACCUUUGCAAAAUAAAGUCACUUCUGUAAAUUUAUUCAAGAUCCAAGACUAAAAUAAAAUGAAAACCUCUUAUGUAAAUGUAACUAACUAGGGCUGUUGCUGAAAUUUCUAAAGUCAGCUCAACUUACAUUUGUCCUAAUUAGCCAACGA
Molecule: unclassified non-coding RNA, 359 nt
Filed under: Hevea brasiliensis (rubber tree)
Lineage: Eukaryota; Viridiplantae; Streptophyta; Magnoliopsida; Malpighiales; Euphorbiaceae
Source: RNAcentral